GCUCAGAUUGAACGCUGGCGGCAGGCCUAACACAUGCAAGUCGAGCGGCAGCGGGAAAGUAGCUUGCUACUUUUGCCGGCGAGCGGCGGACGGGUGAGUAAUGCCUGGGAAAUUGCCCAGUCGAGGGGGAUAACAGUUGGAAACGACUGCUAAUACCGCAUACGCCCUACGGGGGAAAGCCGGGGACCUUCGGGCCUUGCGCGAUUGGAUAUGCCCAGGUGGGAUUAGCUUGUUGGUGAGGUAAUGGCUCACCAAGGCGACGAUCCCUAGCUGGUCUGAGAGGAUGAUCAGCCACACUGGAACUGAGACACGGUCCAGACUCCUACGGGAGGCAGCAGUGGGGAAUAUUGCACAAUGGGGGAAACCCUGAUGCAGCCAUGCCGCGUGUGUGAAGAAGGCCUUCGGGUUGUAAAGCACUUUCAGCGAGGAGGAAAGGUUGGUAGCUAAUAACUGCCAACUGUGACGUUACUCGCAGAAGAAGCACCGGCUAACUCCGUGCCAGCAGCCGCGGUAAUACGGAGGGUGCG
RNAcentral lists this ribosomal RNA (527 nucleotides) under uncultured bacterium. RNAcentral describes it as "bacterial SSU rRNA". It matches the Rfam family "Bacterial small subunit ribosomal RNA", at positions 22 to 536 of the family's 1533-position model. The record is from RNAcentral.